UCCUAGCCCUGAUAAAAAUGGAAAUCCUUUUGAUAAAAAAAAGUACUUUUUUCUCAUAAAAAAAGAGCGACCAACGGAAGCUCCUUUUUAUAUCUAGAAAAAGACUGUUUUUUAUCCAAAGAUUGAAAUGAAUAGCAGGAAAUAGC
This 146-nucleotide small RNA is filed under the name Flavobacterium omnivorum. RNAcentral's name for it is "Flavo-1 RNA". It matches the Rfam family "Flavo-1 RNA". Lineage: Bacteria; Pseudomonadati; Bacteroidota; Flavobacteriia; Flavobacteriales; Flavobacteriaceae. The record is from RNAcentral.